UAGGGAAUCUUCGGCAAUGGGGGCAACCCUGACCGAGCAACGCCGCGUGAGUGAAGAAGGUUUUCGGAUCGUAAAGCUCUGUUGUAAGAGAAGAACGUGUGUGAGAGUGGAAAGUUCACACAGUGACGGUAACUUACUAGAAAGGGACGGCUAACUACGUGCCAGCAGCCGCGGUAAUACGUAGGUCCCGAGCGUUGUCCGGAUUUAUUGGGCGUAAAGCGAGCGCAGGCGGUUUAAUAAGUCUGAAGUUAAAGGCAGUGGCUUAACCAUUGUUCGCUUUGGAAACUGUUAAACUUGAGUGCAGAAGGGGAAAGUGGAAUUCCAUGUGUAGCGGUGAAAUGCGUAGAUAUAUGGAGGAACACCGGUGGCGAAAGCGGCUCUCUGGUCUGUAACUGACGCUGAGGCUCGAAAGCGUGGGGAGCAAACAGG
This 429-nucleotide ribosomal RNA is filed under the name bacterium. Its description in RNAcentral is "partial 16S ribosomal RNA". It matches the Rfam family "Bacterial small subunit ribosomal RNA", at positions 355 to 776 of the family's 1533-position model. The record is from RNAcentral.